RNAcentral lists this ribosomal RNA (867 nucleotides) under uncultured archaeon. RNAcentral's name for it is "bacterial SSU rRNA". It matches the Rfam family "Archaeal small subunit ribosomal RNA", at positions 27 to 900 of the family's 1478-position model. The record is from RNAcentral.
CUGCUAUCGGAUUGAUACUAAGCCAUGCGAGUCAUUGCAGUAAUGCAAGGCAGACGGCUCAGUAACGCGUAGUCAACCUACCCUAUGGACGGGAAUAACCUCGGGAAACUGAGUAUAAUGCCCGAUAGAACACUAUUCCUGGAAUGGUUUGUGUUCCAAAUGAUUUAUCGCCGUAGGAUGGGACUGCGGCCUAUCAGUUUGUUGGUGAGGUAAUGGCCCACCAAGACUAUUACAGGUACGGGCUCUGAGAGGAGUAGCCCGGAGAUGGGUACUGAGACACGGACCCAGGCCCUAUGGGGCGCAGCAGGCGAGAAAACUUUGCAAUGUGCGAAAGCACGACAAGGUUAAUCCGAGUGGUUUGUGCUAAACGAACCUUUUGACAGUCCUAGAAACACUGUUGAAUAAGGGGUGGGCAAGUUCUGGUGUCAGCCGCCGCGGUAAAACCAGCACCUCAAGUGGUCAGGAUGAUUAUUGGGCCUAAAGCAUCCGUAGCCGGCUCUGUAAGUUUUCGGUUAAAUCUGUACGCUCAACGUACAGGCUGCCGGGAAUACUGCAGAGCUAGGGAGUGGGAGAGGUAGACGGUACUCGGUAGGAAGGGGUAAAAUCCUUUGAUCUAUUGAUGACCACCUGUGGCGAAGGCGGUCUACCAGAACACGUCCGACGGUGAGGGAUGAAAGCUGGGGGAGCAAACCGGAUUAGAUACCCGGGUAGUCCCAGCUGUAAACUAUGCAAACUCAGUGAUGCAUUGGCUUGUGGCCAAUGCAGUGCUGCAGGGAAGCCGUUAAGUUUGCCGCCUGGGAAGUACGUACGCAAGUAUGAAACUUAAAGGAAUUGGCGGGGGAGCACCACAAGGGGUGAAGCCUGCGG